AACGAACGCUGGCGGCAUGCCUAACACAUGCAAGUCGAACGAGACCUUCGGGUCUAGUGGCGCACGGGUGCGUAACGCGUGGGAACCUGCCCUUAGGUUCGGAAUAACUCCCCGAAAGGGGUGCUAAUACCGGAUAAUGUCUUCGGACCAAAGAUUUAUCGCCUUUGGAUGGGCCCGCGUUGGAUUAGCUAGUUGGUAGGGUAAAAGCCUACCAAGGCGACGAUCCAUAGCUGGUCUGAGAGGAUGAUCAGCCACACUGGGACUGAGACACGGCCCAGACUCCUACGGGAGGCAGCAGUGGGGAAUAUUGGACAAUGGGCGAAAGCCUGAUCCAGCAAUGCCGCGUGAGUGAUGACGGCCUUAGGGUUGUAAAGCUCUUCUACCCGGGAUGAUAAUGACAGUACCGGGAGAAUAAGCUCCGGCUAACUCCGUG
Molecule: ribosomal RNA, 433 nt
Filed under: uncultured bacterium
Lineage: Bacteria
Description: partial 16S ribosomal RNA
Rfam family: Bacterial small subunit ribosomal RNA
Source: RNAcentral